This 389-nucleotide small RNA is filed under the name Histoplasma capsulatum G186AR. RNAcentral's name for it is "hypothetical RNA". Lineage: Eukaryota; Fungi; Ascomycota; Eurotiomycetes; Onygenales; Ajellomycetaceae. The record is from RNAcentral.
CAUGCUCAUGAGCUGUGUUCCCUCCUUGGGGAGCCAUCACCACAGCUUGUCUCUGUGACCCUUUCUCCCCUCACUGCACUCAUGCUGAGUUUCUCCAAUCUUGUGAGAAGUGAAGCAACUGGCUGAUCACACACUCUCAUCUCCCCACAUUGCUGGUGCUGAGUUGGGCAUGCAACUUGCUAAAGCAUCUUCAAACAGUCAAGAAAGAAACUGCAGACACUUAUCAAGCUGCAGUGACAGAAAAUGAAAGUGAAGAGCUGUGAAGAGAUCUUUUAUAGACAAUAAGAGACAACAUAAAGCUGCUUUGUAAUCAGUUCUUCUAGCUGUUGUGACUCUCACUUGCAUCUUCUGAACUGUGUGUUGCUGAGAAAGUUAUCACUUAUGCUGUG